Molecule: ribosomal RNA, 1554 nt
Filed under: Klebsiella pneumoniae
Lineage: Bacteria; Pseudomonadati; Pseudomonadota; Gammaproteobacteria; Enterobacterales; Enterobacteriaceae
Description: bacterial SSU rRNA
Rfam family: Bacterial small subunit ribosomal RNA
Source: RNAcentral
ACUUAAAUUGAAGAGUUUGAUCAUGGCUCAGAUUGAACGCUGGCGGCAGGCCUAACACAUGCAAGUCGAGCGGUAGCACAGAGAGCGUGCUCUCGGGUGACGAGCGGCGGACGGGUGAGUAAUGUCUGGGAAACUGCCUGAUGGAGGGGGAUAACUACUGGAAACGGUAGCUAAUACCGCAUAACGUCGCAAGACCAAAGUGGGGGACCUUCGGGCCUCAUGCCAUCAGAUGUGCCCAGAUGGGAUUAGCUAGUAGGUGGGGUAACGGCUCACCUAGGCGACGAUCCCUAGCUGGUCUGAGAGGAUGACCAGCCACACUGGAACUGAGACACGGUCCAGACUCCUACGGGAGGCAGCAGUGGGGAAUAUUGCACAAUGGGCGCAAGCCUGAUGCAGCCAUGCCGCGUGUGUGAAGAAGGCCUUCGGGUUGUAAAGCACUUUCAGCGGGGAGGAAGGCGUUAAGGUUAAUAACCUUGGCGAUUGACGUUACCCGCAGAAGAAGCACCGGCUAACUCCGUGCCAGCAGCCGCGGUAAUACGGAGGGUGCAAGCGUUAAUCGGAAUUACUGGGCGUAAAGCGCACGCAGGCGGUCUGUCAAGUCGGAUGUGAAAUCCCCGGGCUCAACCUGGGAACUGCAUUCGAAACUGGCAGGCUAGAGUCUUGUAGAGGGGGGUAGAAUUCCAGGUGUAGCGGUGAAAUGCGUAGAGAUCUGGAGGAAUACCGGUGGCGAAGGCGGCCCCCUGGACAAAGACUGACGCUCAGGUGCGAAAGCGUGGGGAGCAAACAGGAUUAGAUACCCUGGUAGUCCACGCCGUAAACGAUGUCGAUUUGGAGGUUGUGCCCUUGAGGCGUGGCUUCCGGAGCUAACGCGUUAAAUCGACCGCCUGGGGAGUACGGCCGCAAGGUUAAAACUCAAAUGAAUUGACGGGGGCCCGCACAAGCGGUGGAGCAUGUGGUUUAAUUCGAUGCAACGCGAAGAACCUUACCUGGUCUUGACAUCCACAGAACUUUCCAGAGAUGGAUUGGUGCCUUCGGGAACUGUGAGACAGGUGCUGCAUGGCUGUCGUCAGCUCGUGUUGUGAAAUGUUGGGUUAAGUCCCGCAACGAGCGCAACCCUUAUCCUUUGUUGCCAGCGGUCCGGCCGGGAACUCAAAGGAGACUGCCAGUGAUAAACUGGAGGAAGGUGGGGAUGACGUCAAGUCAUCAUGGCCCUUACGACCAGGGCUACACACGUGCUACAAUGGCAUAUACAAAGAGAAGCGACCUCGCGAGAGCAAGCGGACCUCAUAAAGUAUGUCGUAGUCCGGAUUGGAGUCUGCAACUCGACUCCAUGAAGUCGGAAUCGCUAGUAAUCGUAGAUCAGAAUGCUACGGUGAAUACGUUCCCGGGCCUUGUACACACCGCCCGUCACACCAUGGGAGUGGGUUGCAAAAGAAGUAGGUAGCUUAACCUUCGGGAGGGCGCUUACCACUUUGUGAUUCAUGACUGGGGUGAAGUCGUAACAAGGUAACCGUAGGGGAACCUGCGGUUGGAUCACCUCCUUACCUUAAAGAA